Molecule: ribosomal RNA, 428 nt
Filed under: uncultured bacterium
Lineage: Bacteria
Description: bacterial SSU rRNA
Rfam family: Bacterial small subunit ribosomal RNA
Source: RNAcentral
GUCGAGAAUCUUCCGCAAUGCGCGAAAGCGUGACGGAGCGACACCGCGUGAUGGAUGAAGUCCUUCGGGGCGUAAACAUCUUUUAUAAAGGAGGAAAUUUUUGACGUUACUUUAUGAAUAAGGGGCUCCCAAUCUCGUGCCAGCAGGAGCGGUAAUACGAGAGCCUCAAGCGUUAUUCGGAAUCAUUGGGCGUAAAGGGUGCGUAGGUGGUUUGAUUAGUCUCCCGUUAAAACUUCGAGCUUAACUCGAAAAGAGCGGGGGAAACGGUCAAACGAGAGUAUGUGAGAGGUGUGUGGAACUCAUGGUGUAGGGGUGAAAUCCGUUGAUAUCAUAGGGAACACCAAAAGCGAAGGAAGCACACUGGCACAUCACUGACACUGAGGCACGAAACCUAAGGUAGCGAAUGGGAUUAGAAACCCGUGUAGUCC